Small nucleolar RNA from Lutra lutra (Eurasian river otter), 80 nucleotides. RefSeq annotates it as small nucleolar RNA SNORD115. NCBI's taxonomy places the organism in Eukaryota, Metazoa, Chordata, Mammalia, Carnivora, Mustelidae. The transcript has a single exon. The record is from RefSeq and is a predicted model, not a curated record.
GGGCAAAGAUAAGAACUCAUAUGGUCUCAAAGAGUGAAGAAGACCUAAAAAUCAUGCACAAUAGGAAUACGCAGAGGCCC